Molecule: non-coding RNA, 24 nt
Filed under: Arabidopsis thaliana (thale cress)
Lineage: Eukaryota; Viridiplantae; Streptophyta; Magnoliopsida; Brassicales; Brassicaceae
Source: RNAcentral
CACCGCAAGGAAACACAUCCCUGA